GGCCUCUUUCCAGGGUGGAGUUGGCUGCGAGUGGAGCUCCUCCGCGCAGGCUACGGCAGACUGGCUGUCUGCUGGUCACCGCCGCUUUGCAGUUGGUGGAAACCUGCGGGAUUAAGGAAUGGAUAAUUUGAGAGUAGCAGAUGAAACACCAGGGACAUCAGAUGAUUGGGCUCCAUCCAGUAUACCUACUGUGUGUAACAGGGAGCAUCUGUUACUACUACAGUAUGUCAUGAGGAUGAGUCACCAGGAAAAAAGAAAAGGCAUGUUGGAACAGCUAUAGGAUAAACAGGCUGCAUCAAAAACUGACAGAGGAAUGAUCUGAAUCAACUGAGUUCACAAUUAUCACUGUAGCAGAGUCAUCAGUAAAGAAGUCUAAGCUUUAUCCACUCUAAUAAUGUGUGCUUACAGCAUUGACUUAAAAUACAACUGGGAGAAUGCCUGGAUGGCUCAGCCAGUUAAGCCGCUGCCUUCAGCUCAGGUCAUGAUCCUACCCUCCUGGGAUCCAGUCCCACAUCGGGCUCCUUGCUCAGUGGGGAGCCUGCUUCUCCCUCUACCUGCAGCUCUCCCUGUUUGUGUGCUCUCUCUCUCUCUGACAAAUAAAGAAAUGAAAUCUUAAAAAAGAAAGAAAUUCUUUGGUUAGUUCAACAUUCAGGUACCACAACUA
Ailuropoda melanoleuca (giant panda) is the source of this 664-nucleotide long non-coding RNA. RefSeq lists it as uncharacterized. Lineage: Eukaryota; Metazoa; Chordata; Mammalia; Carnivora; Ursidae. The transcript is spliced from 5 exons. The record is from RefSeq and is a predicted model, not a curated record.